CGCAACCCUACGCUAUCUGUUGCCAGCAAGUAAUGUUGGGGACUCAGAUGGAACUGCCGGUGACAAACCGGAGGAAGUGGGGACGACGUCAAGUCAUCAUGGCCCUUAUGUCCUGGGCUACACACGUGCUACAAUGGCCGGUACAGAGCGCAGCGAAGCCGCGAGGCAAAGCGAAUCGCUAAAAGCCGGUCUCAGUACGGAUUGGAGUCUGAAACCCGACUCCAUGAAGUUGGAAUCGCUAGUAAUCGCGCAUCAGCAUGGCGCGGUGAAUACGUUCCCGGGCCUU
RNAcentral lists this ribosomal RNA (286 nucleotides) under uncultured Spirochaeta sp. RNAcentral describes it as "partial 16S ribosomal RNA". It matches the Rfam family "Bacterial small subunit ribosomal RNA", at positions 1097 to 1382 of the family's 1533-position model. The record is from RNAcentral. Lineage: Bacteria; Pseudomonadati; Spirochaetota; Spirochaetia; Spirochaetales; Spirochaetaceae.